UACCGGUUCUGUUGCUCAUAUUUGCAACUCAAAACAGGAACUGCGGAAUAGGCGAAGGCUGGCGAAAGAUGAAGUGACGAUGCGCGUAGGAAAUGGUUCCAAGGUUGAUGCAAUCGCCGUCGGCACAGUGUCACUUCAGUUACCGUCAGGAUUAGUGAUGAACUUAAAUCAUUGUUAUUUAGUGCCUGCGUUGAGCAUGAACAUUAUAUCUGGAUC
This 216-nucleotide long non-coding RNA is filed under the name Hordeum vulgare. RNAcentral's name for it is "long non-coding RNA (HVUL_LNC011978)". Lineage: Eukaryota; Viridiplantae; Streptophyta; Magnoliopsida; Poales; Poaceae. The record is from RNAcentral.